RNAcentral lists this ribosomal RNA (253 nucleotides) under uncultured bacterium. Its description in RNAcentral is "partial 16S ribosomal RNA". It matches the Rfam family "Bacterial small subunit ribosomal RNA", at positions 524 to 776 of the family's 1533-position model. The record is from RNAcentral.
UACAGAGGAUGCAAGCGUUGCUCGGAAUCAUUGGGCGUAAAGGGCAAGUAGGUGGUCUCAUUUGUCUUGUGUGAAAUCCUUGGGCUUAACUCAAGAAGUGCGCAAGAAACGGUGAGACUCGAGUUCUGGAGAGGGUCGUGGAAUUCCCGGUGUAGCGGUGAAAUGCGUAGAGAUCGGGAGGAACACCAGAGGCGAAGGCGGCGACCUGGACAGACACUGACACUCAACUGCGAAAGCGUGGGGAGCAAACAGG